AGGGGUGUGGCGCAACUGGUAGCGUACCGGUCUCCAAAACCGGUGGUUGCAGGUUCAAAUCCUGUCGCCCCUGCGA
RNAcentral lists this transfer RNA (76 nucleotides) under Actinomycetota bacterium. RNAcentral describes it as "Actinobacteria bacterium (freshwater metagenome) tRNA-Trp". It matches the Rfam family "tRNA". From Rfam's summary of the family: Transfer RNA (tRNA) molecules are approximately 80 nucleotides in length. The record is from RNAcentral. Lineage: Bacteria; Bacillati; Actinomycetota.